UACGUAGGGGGCUAGCGUUGUCCGGAAUCAUUUGGCGUAAAGAGCGUGUAGGCGGCCCGGUAAGUCCGCUGUGAAAGUCGGGGGCUCAACCCUCGAAUGCCGGUGGAUACUGUCGGGCUAGAGUGCGGAAGAGGCGAGUGGAAUUCCUGGUGUAGCGGUGAAAUGCGCAGAUAUCAGGAGGAACACCAAUUGCGAAGGCAGCUCGCUGGGACGUAACUGACGCUGAGACGCGAAAGCGUGGGGAGCAAACAGG
This 253-nucleotide ribosomal RNA is filed under the name uncultured bacterium. RNAcentral's name for it is "partial 16S ribosomal RNA". It matches the Rfam family "Bacterial small subunit ribosomal RNA", at positions 524 to 776 of the family's 1533-position model. The record is from RNAcentral.